GCCGGCAGCUAGCUCAAUGCAACUCUCAAAUGGUUGCCCACUGAAGAUAAGCAGGGCUGCGCUCGGUCAGUACCUGGAUUGGAAACCACAUGGGAAAGCUAGGUUGCAGUCAGCG
This 115-nucleotide ribosomal RNA is filed under the name Danio rerio (zebrafish). Lineage: Eukaryota; Metazoa; Chordata; Actinopteri; Cypriniformes; Danionidae. The record is from RNAcentral.